Molecule: unclassified non-coding RNA, 370 nt
Filed under: soil metagenome
Description: partial contains 5.8S ribosomal RNA, internal transcribed spacer 2, and large subunit ribosomal RNA
Rfam family: 5.8S ribosomal RNA (bases 1-120)
Source: RNAcentral
GAUGAAGAACGCAGCGAAAUGCGAUAAGUAAUGUGAAUUGCAGAAUUCAGUGAAUCAUCGAAUCUUUGAACGCACCUUGCGCUCCUUGGUAUUCCGAGGAGCAUGCCUGUUUGAGUGUCAUUAAUAUAUAUAUAUCAACCAUUCUCUUCUUGUUGAGUGGUUUGGAUGUGGGGGUUUGCUGGCCUUUUGAAGGGUUCAGCUCCCCUGAAAAGCAUUAGCAGAACAACCUGUUCAUUGGUGUGAUAACUAUCUACACUAUUGAAUGUGAAGGGCAGUUCAGCUUUCUAACAGUCUUUGGACAAAAUCAUCAAUGUGACCUCAAAUCAGGUAGGAUUACCCGCUGAACUUAAGCAUAUCAAUAAGCGGAGGA